RNAcentral lists this long non-coding RNA (590 nucleotides) under Homo sapiens (human). Its description in RNAcentral is "long intergenic non-protein coding RNA 1237". The record is from RNAcentral. Lineage: Eukaryota; Metazoa; Chordata; Mammalia; Primates; Hominidae.
GCAUGGUGGGCUGCAAUAAAAUGCAGCAGAAAGAUCCUAAAGAACAGACUUGAAAUCUUAAUCCAACGACCAAUAGGUGAUGUCCAGGAAGAUCGUAACCCCAUUUACUCAGUCAAUGAGGAACUGGGGGAGGGACCUGCGCACUAGGGGAUAAAUUGCUUGUUGAAACUCUGCUGGGGGUGGCUGCAUGCCAGCCAGACACCCAGUCUUGCAAGACUGUCAUUGAAAAUCUCCGUUUUGCUGUUCUCCGGGUCUCUGCGUCCAGUCUUUGUGUUUGGACGGACCUGCCGGGCCAUCUUUCUGCAAGAAGAUAAAGGAAGACCAGGAGUGCCUGCCGAACUCCUAUGGAGGAAGUCUAGGAGAGGAAGGGGACAGGGAGGAAGAUGGUGUCUGCAAACCAGGAAGCAGCCUUGCCAGACACAGGAUUGGCCACAACCUUGACCCCAGACUUCCAGCCUCCAGAACUGUGAGAAAUAAAUGUCCAUAUUGACUAGGGGCACAGGGCAUGGGGGAACUGGUUCCAGACCUGCCUCCUGGGAAGUUGGGAGGGGGCAUUUCAACCUGUUAAUUUCUCAAAUUAUGUAGUCAUU